GAUGAACGCUGACAGAAUGCUUAACACAUGCAAGUCUUUGGCGAAGCUGUGCUUGCACCGCCUAGCCAAGGCGGACGGGUGAGUAACGCGUAAGGAACUUGCCCUGCAGUCAGGGAUAACAGACGGAAACGACUGAUAAGACCUGGUAAAGUCAGGCGGACUCAUGUCCAGCCUGAUGAAAAGAGAUGCUGCAGGAGAGCCUUGCGUCCUAUUAGCUUGUUGGUGGGGUAACGGCCCACCAAGGCGAUGAUAGGUAGCCGGCCUGAGAGGGUGGACGGCCACAAGGGGACUGAGAUACGGCCCUUACUCCUACGGGAGGCAGCAGUGGGGAAUAUUGGACAAUGGGGACAACCCUGAUCCAGCAAUUCUGUGUGCACGAUGAAGGUUUUCGGAGUGUAAAGUGCUUUCAGCAGGGAAGAAAAAAAUGACGGUACCUGCAGAAGAAGCGACGGCUAAAUACGUG
RNAcentral lists this ribosomal RNA (463 nucleotides) under uncultured bacterium. RNAcentral describes it as "partial 16S ribosomal RNA". It matches the Rfam family "Bacterial small subunit ribosomal RNA", at positions 28 to 507 of the family's 1533-position model. The record is from RNAcentral.